This 497-nucleotide ribosomal RNA is filed under the name uncultured bacterium. RNAcentral describes it as "partial 16S ribosomal RNA". It matches the Rfam family "Bacterial small subunit ribosomal RNA", at positions 28 to 507 of the family's 1533-position model. The record is from RNAcentral.
GAUGAACGCUGGCGGCGUGCCUAAUACAUGCAAGUCGAGCGAACGGACGAGAAGCUUGCUUCUCUGAUGUUAGCGGCGGACGGGUGAGUAACACGUGGAUAACCUACCUAUAAGACUGGGAUAACUUCGGGAAACCGUAGCUAAUACCGGAUAAUAUUUUGAACCGCAUGGUUCAAAAGUGAAAGACGGUCUUGCUGUCACUUAUAGAUGGAUCCACGCUGCAUUAGCUAGUUGGUAAGGUAACGGCUUACCAAGGCAACGAUGCAUAGCCGACCUGAGAGGGUGAUCGGCCACACUGGAACUGAGACACGGUCCAGACUCCUACGGGAGGCAGCAGUAGGGAAUCUUCCGCAAUGGGCGAAAGCCUGACGGAGCAACGCCGCGUGAGUGAUGAAGGUCUUCGGAUCGUAAAACUCUGUUAUUAGGGAAGAACAUAUGUGUAAGUAACUGUGCACAUCUUGACGUUACCUAAUCAGAAAGCCACGGCUAACUACGUG